This 366-nucleotide ribosomal RNA is filed under the name uncultured Lactobacillus sp. RNAcentral's name for it is "bacterial SSU rRNA". It matches the Rfam family "Bacterial small subunit ribosomal RNA", at positions 173 to 524 of the family's 1533-position model. The record is from RNAcentral. Lineage: Bacteria; Bacillati; Bacillota; Bacilli; Lactobacillales; Lactobacillaceae.
AUACAACAGAUGAUGCCUAACAACUGUUUUAAAAGAUGGGUUCUGCUAUCACUCUUGGGAUGGACCUGCGGUGCAUUAGCUAGUGGUAGGGUAACGGGCCUACCAAGGCGAUGAUGCAUAGCCGAGUUGAGAGACUGAUCGGCCACAUUGGGACUGAGACACGGCCCAAACUCCUACGGGAGGCAGCAGUAGGGAAUCUUCCACAAUGGACGCAAGUCUGAUGGAGCAACGCCGCGUGAGUGAAGAAGGGUUUCGGCUCGUAAAGCUCUGUUGUUGGUGAAGAAGGACAGGGGUAGUAACUAACCUUUGUUUGACGGUAAUCAAUUAGAAAGUCACGGCUAACUACGUGCCAGCAGCCGCGGUAAU